AAUGAACGUUGGCGGCGUGGAUUAGGCAUGCGAGUCGUACGAGAACCCGCAAGGGGGAAGUGGCGAACGGGGUAGUAAUGCGUAGGUGACGUGCCCUAUGGUCGGGGAUAGCUUAGGGAAACUUAAGGUAAUACUCGAUGAUCCCGGGAUGUUUGAAGACAAUCCGGGCAAAGGUGUGAUUCCAUCAUAGGAGCGGCUUGCGUGGUAUUAGCUAGUUGGUGAGGUAACGGCUCACCAAGGCUUCGAUGCCUAGGGGAUGUUAGCGCAUGAUCCCCACCACUGGGACUGAGAUACUGCCCAGACACCUACGGGUGGCUGCAGUCGAGAAUCUUCGGCAAUGGGCGAAAGCCUGACCGAGCGACGCCGCGUGUGGGAUGAAGGCCCUUGGGUUGUAAACCACUGUCAGGGGGGAUGAAACCGUAAGGUUGACAGAGCCCCAGAGGAAGCACGGGCUAAGUUCGUG
RNAcentral lists this ribosomal RNA (463 nucleotides) under uncultured bacterium. RNAcentral's name for it is "bacterial SSU rRNA". It matches the Rfam family "Bacterial small subunit ribosomal RNA", at positions 29 to 507 of the family's 1533-position model. The record is from RNAcentral.